GAAAAGAUUGGAUGCUUGCUGAAAUUUUUGGGUGACUUAGAUGAUCAGACCUGUAGAGAAGAUUUGCACAUCCUUUUCUCAAAUCAUGGUGAAAUAAAAUGGAUAGAUUUUAUCAGAGGAGCAAAAGAGGGCAUAAUUCUGUUUAAAGAAAAAGCCAAGAAAACCCUAGAAAAAGCCAAAGAUGCAAAUAAUGGUAACCUACAAUUAAGGAACAAAGCAGCCACUUGGGAAGUACUAGAAGGAGAGGUAGAAAAAGCAGCAUUGAAAAAAAUCAUAGAAGAUCAGCAAGAAUCCCUAAACAAAUGGAAGUCAAAAGGUCGCAAAUUUAAAGGAAAAGGAAAUAAAGCUGCUCAGCCUGCGUCUGCUAAAGCAAAAGUACAGUUUCAGGGCAAGAAAACCAAAUUCGAUAGUGAUGAUGACUUUGAUGAAUAUGAACCAUCAACUCGACCAGUGAAAAGAGCAAGAGAAGAAACAGCCACGAAAGAACCUGCAUCAAAACAACAGAAAACAUAAAAUGGAGUGGAGACCAGUAGUUUAGUGAACAAAUUUUUUAUUCAUUUUAAUUAGGUUUAAGCUGCCUU
Molecule: long non-coding RNA, 581 nt
Organism: Tupaia belangeri chinensis (Chinese tree shrew)
Lineage: Eukaryota; Metazoa; Chordata; Mammalia; Scandentia; Tupaiidae
Exons: 2
Source: RefSeq, a predicted model, not a curated record